GUUGCCACUGUAUAUCAUAUGUUUUUACAAAAAUUAAUUGUGAAAUGGCAUCAUGGGAUUGCGUGGGUGUAUUUACGUUUAAAAUGGACAUGAACACUGAAGAGUCAUCAUUCAAAAUUGUUGGCAUGAGCGAGGCAGCAAAAAGCGCGAGGGGUCUCGUAACGGCUGGACUGCAAGGUGGUGAGACGAAUCUUUGAACUUAAAGGCACGAGACAGCAGAGAUUGCAACUCUAACCUGAUAGGACUGGUGGUGUGAGACAAAUGAGAAAAGAUUAUUUUUAGGUGAAAUCCUCAAUGCAACUCAGUGGAUGCUGAGUAUGGACGGUCAGGUGGUUGUGAAUCCACACCCCAACCUUGUGGCUGGAUUUGCAGCUUUGUUCGCAUCAUACUACAACUUCAACCUGGUUUACCAGAGGAAGGCAUCCUCCACACUUGAAUUUGUUCAAAGAUGUUUUGUUGGAAUCACACCUACCACUGGCAUCAAGACAGCAUCAAGAGGCAAAAAAGUGGAAACGCCUCUGAGAAGAGAAACAACACCAUCAACCCUUAUGUGUG
Molecule: long non-coding RNA, 555 nt
Organism: Paramisgurnus dabryanus
Lineage: Eukaryota; Metazoa; Chordata; Actinopteri; Cypriniformes; Cobitidae
Source: RefSeq, a predicted model, not a curated record